This is a long non-coding RNA of Apodemus sylvaticus (European woodmouse), 507 nucleotides long. RefSeq lists it as uncharacterized. Lineage: Eukaryota; Metazoa; Chordata; Mammalia; Rodentia; Muridae. The transcript is spliced from 3 exons. The record is from RefSeq and is a predicted model, not a curated record.
AGUACUGAGAAUGCAGAGUGCUGAGAGGUGAGCUAAGUACUGAGAGUGCAGAGAGGUGAGCUAAGUACUGAGAGUGCUGAGAGGUGAGCUAAGUACUGAGAGUACAGACAGGUGAGAGCUAAGUACUGAGAGUGCUGAGAGGUGAGAUAAGUACUGAGAGUGCUGAGAGAUGAGCUAAGUACUGAGAGUGCUGAGAGGUGAGCUAAGUACUGAGAGUGCAGAGAGGUGAGCUAAGUACUGAGAGUGCAGAGAGGUGAGCUAAGUACUGAGAGUGCAGAGAGGUGAGCUAAGUACUGAGAGUGCAGAGAGGUGAGCUAAGUACUGAGAGUGCAGAGAGGUGAGCUAAGUACUGAGAACUAAGUAUUAAGAGUGCUGAGAGCUGAGGGAGCUGCACUCCACACAGAGAAGCAGGAGCGCUGCAGGGCUCACAGAGUCCAGUAAGAUGCAAAGGUUUGACAGAGGAGAUGGGGCCGCCUGGGAGGGCUACUGAGGGGAGGACGUGCAGAC